This 253-nucleotide ribosomal RNA is filed under the name uncultured bacterium. RNAcentral's name for it is "partial 16S ribosomal RNA". It matches the Rfam family "Bacterial small subunit ribosomal RNA", at positions 524 to 776 of the family's 1533-position model. The record is from RNAcentral.
UACGUAGGGUGCAAGCGUUGUCCGGAAUUAUUGGGCGUAAAGAGCUCGUAGGCGGCUUGUCGCGUCGGAUGUGAAAGCCCGGGGCUUAACCCCGGGUCUGCAUUCGAUACGGGCAGGCUAGAGUUCGGUAGGGGAGAUCGGAAUUCCUGGUGUAGCGGUGAAAUGCGCAGAUAUCAGGAAGAACACCGGUGGCGAAGGCGGAUCUCUGGGCCGAUACUGACGCUGAGGAGCGAAAGCGUGGGGAGCGAACAGG